RNAcentral lists this small RNA (709 nucleotides) under Arabidopsis thaliana (thale cress). RNAcentral describes it as "ATSL268910". The record is from RNAcentral. Lineage: Eukaryota; Viridiplantae; Streptophyta; Magnoliopsida; Brassicales; Brassicaceae.
AUAACUUGGUACAGGGCCACGAAUCUCUAGAAUUAGUGGUUCAGACAUUUCAUCGAACAGCUUUUGGGCGCAGAAAUAUCUGGGCUCAAAUUCCAGUUGAUAAGAAAGCAAUAGGCAUUACGAACAACUAAUCCAGAAGGGAUCUAUCAAUCAAUACUCAAUCACCUAGCAUACUGAGAAUUCUACACUACUCUAACCCAUCCUCAGAAACCUAUUCACUACUCAAACAUCAUAGUAGAAAGCAUAAACGUUGAACAGGUUAAGAACAUGAUAACAGCAGGGUGAUAACAGAAUGAAGAACAGUAAAAGAAAUCAAGAACGAAUGUUGGAUACUGAAUAGACAAAGAGAAAUCCGGAUUACAAAGGUCUAGAACACAGUGUUUGCGGAAUAAAACUAGAAAAAAACUUGUUUUCGAAAAUGUGAAGUACAUGCUACUUAUAGCCAAAUAUUCCAAAAUCCUAAUACUUAAAACGACACAGUAUUGGGACGGAUUAAAAACUGUACUGGACCCAUGCGGUCGAGUGGGAGGUCGAGUGAAUAGCUGGAGUCUUCUUUUCUUCCUUGUGCUUGAGUGUCUGGUUGAGUGCAGAAUGAAGAAGACUCUGAAGCUUGCCAUCGAGUAUGUAGUCGAGUGGUGGUGAUGGUGAUACUCGACUUCCUGGUAGAGUGAUGUGGUCGAGUGAUGAUCAGGUAAUGGAGGUAAAGACA